AGUGAACGCUGGCGGUAGGCCUAACACAUGCAAGUCGAACGGCAGCACAGGAGAGCUUGCUCUCUAGGUGGCGAGUGGCGGACGGGUGAGGAAUACAUCGGAAUCUGCCCAGUCGUGGGGGAUAACGGAGGGAAACUUACGCUAAUACCGCAUACGACCUUCGGGUGAAAGAGGGGGAUCGCAAGACCUCUCGCGAUUGGAUGAGCCGAUGUCGGAUUAGCUAGUUAGCGGGGUAAUGGCCCACCAAGGCGACGAUCCGUAGCUGGUCUGAGAGGAUGAUCAGCCACACUGGAACUGAGACACGGUCCAGACUCCUACGGGAGGCAGCAGUGGGGAAUAUUGGACAAUGGGCGCAAGCCUGAUCCAGCCAUACCGCGUGGGUGAAGAAGGCCUUCGGGUUGUAAAGCCCUUUUGUUGGGAAAGAAAUCGUUCAGGCUAAUACCCUGGGAGGAUGACGGUACCCAAAGAAUAAGCACCGGCUAACUUCGUG
RNAcentral lists this ribosomal RNA (490 nucleotides) under uncultured bacterium. RNAcentral's name for it is "partial 16S ribosomal RNA". It matches the Rfam family "Bacterial small subunit ribosomal RNA", at positions 29 to 507 of the family's 1533-position model. The record is from RNAcentral.